CUCUCUCACUUUCACCCCGUCUUAUAUUCUCCUUAAGCUUGCUUCGUUAGCCGACACACAUUCUAGAAAUCUUCCUCUUUUUCUUUAUCCUCUUAAUCUUUUCUUCUUUUCUUGCCCUCCCAACAUACGGUUCACACCCCCAUAUCACACCCCUCAAACUCUCCAUAUCCAUGUCCCCUUACACUCACACCCCCUACACACACGCACCCCUAUAACUAGAUAUCCAUCCCACAUACACUAGGACCCUCUGUGUCUCUCCCUGCCUCUUCACUGAGGAAACCCAGCCUUUGUAAAAUCAGGCUGAGCAGGCCAGCUGAAGACUGCCCAUCUGAUUGCAAUGCUAUUGAGGGAUGAAUAUGUCCAGGCUCUAGAGCUCAUGGAAUUCCUUCAACCCCUCAAGCAGCAUUGAAUUUGAGCUGCACAAAGAAGAAAGAAAAAGAGAAAAAGCAAGCUGAUCGCAGGUGACAACUGGAGUUCCCUAGCAAGCCACAUCAUGAGUGGCAGAGCCUUCCUGCAGCCCUGGACCACUCAGCUAUAGACUUUCACAUGAGAGAGAAAAACAAUCCUCCGCAGUUUAAGCAGCUGUGUUUUGAGUCUUUCUGUGAGAGGAAAUUAACCGUUAGUCUAACCAAUAUGGAAAUCUUCCUAUAAGGAUCUAAGAAGUUAGAAAGUAAUUAAUACUAUCAUCAGGAAAAAAGUUAGAAACAGCAAUGGGAUUGUAUUGAAAGAAGACAGGCUAAGGAGCCUGGCAGACCUGGAUUUGAAUCCCAGCUCUGUUGCUUACCAGUUCUGUAAUUUUUUUUGUUUUUGGUUUUGUUUUUUGGUUUUUUUGUUUUUUGUUUUUUGUUUUUGAGACAAUGUCUCCCUCUGUCACCCAGGCUGGAGUGCAGUGGGCUGAUCUCGGCUCACAGCAACCUCUGGGUUCAAGUGAUUCUCCCAUCUCAGCCUCCCAACUAGCUGGUACUACAGGUGCACACCACCAUGCCUGGCUAAUUUUUUGUAUUAACGGAUCAUUUACCCUGUGUCUGUUUGCUCAUCUAUAAAAUAGCAAAAUGCUAUCUGGUUUAGUUGUGAAGAAGAGAUCAAGAUGGAAAAGUGCCUGACUACUCAGUAGAUGGCAGUUGUGGUUAUUAUUCAAAAUGCAUCAUUGAAAGAAUCAAUUCAAGGAGGACUUAAGCAGUAGGACUCAAGGAGGAGAGGCAUUUUUAUUAUUUUCAUGUGUGGGGCAAUAGCUCUCAACUUCAGAGCCUCCAGCAUUCCCAAGUUCCAACCAAUGUGAGAGAGAAGGUGGUUAGCAAAAUGACUAAAAGCCCAAAGGGGAACCAAAAACAGAAAUACCUUAACAUAAAGGAGUGACUUUCGCGGGACUGGGAUCAGGAGACAUUUCUUUCUGGUCCUAGAGUCAAGAAGAAUUGUGCCUAAUGGACACUGUAAAUUUUAUAGCUGAGCAAGUCUCCCUCUUGGCCUUGACUGCUGAAAAACUCAAAGCCAAAUUUGACUCCUGGAAAAUGCAAAGGUGUUACACCUAGCUGGUAAGACAAGCUCUUUUCUGUUUGCUUAAUUCCUGACUUCAUCUUACAUCUCUAACCUGAAUGAUUUUUUUUCUCUUUCUUGCUUCUUCCAAUUUGUGUUCUCUCCUGGUAUAUUAUGAAUUCCUAUAAGACUCUUAAAUUUUUUCUUGGAGCAAAGAAUGAAUGAAUGGAUGGAUGGGUAAAUGAGGGAAUAACAUCCUCACAGAUGGUCAGUCCAAUUGCCUAAUCUUGAUAUUUGCAGUGAUUAGAAGCUCCCCAUCUGAUAAAAUAGUCCAUUUCAGCUUCAUUAUUAGAAUAUUCUGGCUUACACAGUUGAUAUCUGCUUCCUUAUAGGAAAUAAUAAUAUUAUUCAUAACAAGAGGAAUUUUUUGUUUUUUUGUUUGUGUUUGCUUGUUUUUUAGAGGCAGGGUCUCACUCUCACCCAGGCUGCAAUGCAGGGGCACAGUCACAGCUCACUGCAGCCUCAAAUUCCUUGGGGACUACUCAAGCAAUCCUCCUGUCUCACCCUCCCAAGUAGCUGGGACUACAGGUGCAGCCACUUUGAAAAACAGUCUACCUUUUGCUCAAAAGGUUAAACAUAGAGUUAUUGUAUAAUCCGUCAAUUCUACUCCUAGGUGUAUACCCAAGAUAAAUGAAAACAUAUGUCCACAAAAAACCCACUUUGUACACAAAUGUUUAUCGC
Molecule: long non-coding RNA, 2214 nt
Organism: Homo sapiens (human)
Lineage: Eukaryota; Metazoa; Chordata; Mammalia; Primates; Hominidae
Source: Ensembl